Molecule: ribosomal RNA, 373 nt
Filed under: uncultured bacterium
Lineage: Bacteria
Description: bacterial SSU rRNA
Rfam family: Bacterial small subunit ribosomal RNA
Source: RNAcentral
GACGAACGCUGGCGGCGUGCUUAACACAUGCAAGUCGAGCGGUAAGGCCCUUUCGGGGGUACGACGAGCGGCGAACGGGUGAGUAACACGUGGGUGACCUGCCUUUAGCUCUGGGAUAAGCCUGGGAAACUGGGUCUAAUACCGGAUAUGACCCUAUGGCGCAUGUUGUGGGGUGGAAAGCCUUGUGCGGCUAGGGAUGGGCCCGCGGCCUAUCAGCUUGUUGGUGGGGUGAUGGCCUACCAAGGCGACGACGGUAGCCGGCCUGAGAGGGCGACCGGCCACACUGGGACUGAGACACGGCCCAGACUCCUACGGGAGGCAGCAGUGGGAAUCUUGCGCAAUGGCGAAAGCCUGACGCAGCGACGCCGCGUGA